Molecule: long non-coding RNA, 966 nt
Organism: Thamnophis elegans (Western terrestrial garter snake)
Lineage: Eukaryota; Metazoa; Chordata; Lepidosauria; Squamata; Natricidae
Exons: 3
Source: RefSeq, a predicted model, not a curated record
GCGGACUCUGCCGAGCCGCCCUGGGGCUAGCAGGAAGCGGAGAAGCAAAGGCACUGACCCACCACGAGCGCAUGCGCAAUGCGUUUGUUGACUCCCCAGAGCAAGAAAUCCACUUUUACAGUCUCAUCUUUGUCAAGACAUGGAGCAGCUGAAGCUCCAGGACAAAGCCCAGAAGGACUUUACUCGGCCGUCCUGCCAAGCUGAUGCAGAGCCAUUUAUUUCAGUUGCUAAGCAGAUGCAAGAUUUUCUUCAAGCGAACAGGAAAGAGGGAAUCCUCUCCAGAAGAUGCUCCAGGUUUUUGGAGAAAAUGGGUGGAAAAAAAAUUCAAGAAGAGAAAAAUUGCCUCCUUCCUCUUCCAUUAGCCUUAAGAAAGGAAUUACUAAAAGGAUGCUACUUUUUUCCAUUGAAGAUUUUACAAAUCUUUGUAUUUAGGAUUCAACUUAAAGAGGAAACAUAGAAAGACAAAGUGUAAAUUAUCACAAAAAGAAACAAAGGUUUAUAAAAAUAGAAAGAAAUAUUUUGUCCUUCAAAAAGUUAUUACUCAAAGGAAAACCCUACUGUAUAAUGUGAUUAAUAAAUUUGUAAAUAUUUUCAAUGUUUAUUCAUUAUCUCCACUGAGAGAUUCAGUAGUUGAUCAUAACCAAUAAUUGGUUUGCUAGUUUAUAGAAUUAUUGCAACUUCUUGCAGUCAAAUAUUGCAAUCACUUUAUUAAAAUGUCUUUUAGCAUUUUAAAACUCAGAACCAAAAAUAAUUGUAAUAUACUGGUUUGCAUUCUUCAGCUACAUACAGCUACAAGUCUGUGCUCAAAUCUCCAGAUGACCACUAGAAGGCAGAAAAAGUAGCAAAAACUCAGUCUUAACAUUUCAGAUUGUCCAGAAGCUAGGCCCAUAAGACGUUAUGAUCUGUUUUCUGUCUCUGUAGUAACCUUUAACUCAGUCACAGCACAUAUUUAUAUCCUACCUUUAC